CCUACGGGUGGCUGCAGUGGGGAAUAUUGGACAAUGGGGGGAACCCUGAUCCAGCCAUGCCGCGUGUGUGAAGAAGGCCCUCGGGUUGUAAAGCACUUUCAGUGAGGAAGAACGCCUGGUGGUGAAUACCCAUCAGGAAAGACAUCACUCACAGAAGAAGCACCGGCUAACUCCGUGCCAGCAGCCGCGGUAAUACGGAGGGUGCGAGCGUUAAUCGGAAUUACUGGGCGUAAAGCGCGCGUAGGUGGCUUGAUAAGCCGGUUGUGAAAGCCCCGGGCUCAACCUGGGAACGGCAUCCGGAACUGUCAAGCUAGAGUGCAGGAGAGGAAGGUAGAAUUCCCGGUGUAGCGGUGAAAUGCGUAGAGAUCGGGAGGAAUACCAGUGGCGAAGGCGGCCUUCUGGACUGAAACUGACACUGAGGUGCGAAAGCGUGGGUAGCAAACAGGAUUAGAUACCCUUGUAGUC
Molecule: ribosomal RNA, 465 nt
Filed under: Vreelandella stevensii
Lineage: Bacteria; Pseudomonadati; Pseudomonadota; Gammaproteobacteria; Oceanospirillales; Halomonadaceae
Description: partial 16S ribosomal RNA
Rfam family: Bacterial small subunit ribosomal RNA
Source: RNAcentral